RNAcentral lists this ribosomal RNA (254 nucleotides) under uncultured bacterium. RNAcentral's name for it is "partial 16S ribosomal RNA". It matches the Rfam family "Bacterial small subunit ribosomal RNA", at positions 524 to 776 of the family's 1533-position model. The record is from RNAcentral.
UACGUAGGGUGCGAGCGUUGUCCGGAAUUAUUGGGCGUAAAGAGCUCGUAGGCGGUCUGUCGCGUCGGUCGUGAAAACUUGAGGCUUAACCCUGAGCUUGCGGUCGAUACGGGCAUGACUGGAGUUCGGCAGGGGAGACUGGAAUUCCUGGUGUAGCGGUGAAAUGCGCAGAUAUCAGGAGGAACACCGGUGGCGAAGGCGGGUCUCUGGGCCGAUACUGACGCUGAGGAGCGAAAGCGUGGGGAGCGAACAGG